This 344-nucleotide long non-coding RNA is filed under the name Vigna radiata. RNAcentral describes it as "long non-coding RNA (VRAD_LNC003443)". Lineage: Eukaryota; Viridiplantae; Streptophyta; Magnoliopsida; Fabales; Fabaceae. The record is from RNAcentral.
CGGCUAUCUAUCCUAGGAAUCUCCUUCCUAGGGUUCUUUGUCUUCCCUUAAAUUCCAUUCAGCCAAGUGACCCCAGUGUGCCUUCGUGGACAAGCUGCUUGGACGUGGAACCAUGUGGAGCUGCUAUUUUCUUUUUGCUGGACGCACCUCCCUCAAGACCGUGACAGCUGCAUGGAUUCAGAGAAAAGAGAAUGUGCUUCUCCCUCCAACCAUGACCGUCCAACCCAUUGUUAGUCUUCAUGCUUUAUGCUGCAUCUCAUUGCUGGAUGUUGCUCCCUUUGAAAUUGUUGGGCCGAGACAGCAGCAGCAGGUCUUCAUGAAGCCCACUGGUGGAGGCUUUUCUU